Molecule: ribosomal RNA, 274 nt
Filed under: uncultured bacterium
Lineage: Bacteria
Description: partial 16S ribosomal RNA
Rfam family: Archaeal small subunit ribosomal RNA
Source: RNAcentral
AAACCAGCACCUCAAGUGGUCAGGAUGAUCAUUGGGCCUAAAGCAUCCGUAGCCUGUCCUGUAAGUUUUCGGUUAAAUCUGUAUGCUCAACAUACAGGCUGCCGGGAAUACUGCAGGACUAGGGAGUGGGAGAGGUAGACGGUACUCGGGAGGAAGUGGUAAAAUGCUUUGAUCUCUCGAUGACCACCUGUGGCGAAGGCGGUCUACCAGAACACGUCCGACGGUGAGGGAUGAAAGCUGGGGGAGCAAACAGGAUUAGAAACCGCGGUAGUCC